ACGCGUGAGAAUCUGGCUUCAGGUCGGGGACAACCACUGGAAACGGUGGCUAAUACCGGAUAUGCCGAGAGGUGAAAGGCUUGCUGCCUGAAGAUGAGCUCGCGUCUGAUUAGCUAGUAGGUGUGGUAAAAGCGCACCUAGGCGACGAUCAGUAGCUGGUCUGAGAGGAUGAUCAGCCACACUGGGACUGAGACACGGCCCAGACUCCUACGGGAGGCAGCAGUGGGGAAUUUUCCGCAAUGGGCGAAAGCCUGACGGAGCAAUACCGCGUGAGGGAGGAAGGCUCUUGGGUUGUAAACCUCUUUUCUCAGGGAAGAAAAAAAUGACGGUACCUGAGGAAUAAGCAUCGGCUAACUCCGUGCCAGCAGCCGCGGUAAUACGGAGGAUGCAAGCGUUAUCCGGAAUGAUUGGGCGUAAAGGGUCCGCAGGUGGCUAUGUAAGUCUGCUGUUAAAGAACCUAGCUCAACUAGGUAAAAGCAGUGGAAACUACAAGGCUAGAGUGCGUUCGGGGUAGAGGGAAUUCCUGGUGUAGCGGUGAAAUGCGUAGAUAUCAGGAAGAACACCAGUGGCGAAGGCGCUCUACUAGGCCGCAACUGACACUGAGGGACGAAAGCUAGGGGAGCGAAUGGGAUUAGAUACCCC
RNAcentral lists this ribosomal RNA (642 nucleotides) under Nodularia sp. WUC1393. RNAcentral describes it as "bacterial SSU rRNA". It matches the Rfam family "Bacterial small subunit ribosomal RNA", at positions 113 to 788 of the family's 1533-position model. The record is from RNAcentral. Lineage: Bacteria; Bacillati; Cyanobacteriota; Cyanophyceae; Nostocales; Nodulariaceae.